GAGGAACUUGAGGCGGUGUAGGGUGACUGCCAGAGAGACGUCGGCCAUGCUGAAGAAAUCACCACACAGCCAGGACUGACUGCCUUCUUCUGAGAGAACGAGACAAAGAUGGUUGCUAAGUAACAAGCUGUUGUGGAUGUGCACCUGGUGUUUCUUCCACCCUCCUCUGUAGCUCCGUCUCGACCUGGUCCAUCACACUCUCCAGUUCAUCCAGAAGCUUCUUCAGACAUUUCCAGGACAGAAGACGGUGUCUUUGCCUCAGCAGCUGUUGGUUCAAUACCAACCCACGGCCCUUUGCUGCAUGUCGUUCCCCCUCUUUCUCCCCCUUUCACACCAUAGCUGUCCUGUCAAAU
Molecule: non-coding RNA, 353 nt
Organism: Epinephelus lanceolatus (giant grouper)
Lineage: Eukaryota; Metazoa; Chordata; Actinopteri; Perciformes; Serranidae
Source: RefSeq, a predicted model, not a curated record